GGUGCUGCUCCGUGGGGAACGCGUUGCCGGCUCCCUGCUAGGGGACCGCGGUGGCUCUUUGGUGGGGGAUUUCAGUGUUGCUGGGCACAGGGCACUGCUGUUGUAGAGCACACAUUUGUCCCGCGCAGCCGCCCCGCUGUGCAUGCAGCUCCACGUUUCCGGUGCCCCACAGCCCCCCCAGAGGCAUUCGGUGCCGUUGGGUGCCGGAGGAGCGGCGGUGCACAGCUCGCAGGACAGCAGCUCACUGCAUUCUGCGCGGGUGGCGGCGGAUCCCUGAGCGCACCGCACCGCGCACAGCACCGCGCACAGCACCGCGCAGCGCAGCGCUCCGCCGCACGGGGGGGUCAUGGCCCGGCCCGGCCCGGCCCGCUUCGUUCCGUUCGGUCCCGCGGCGGCGGCGGAGCUCCCG
RNAcentral lists this long non-coding RNA (409 nucleotides) under Gallus gallus (chicken). Lineage: Eukaryota; Metazoa; Chordata; Aves; Galliformes; Phasianidae. The record is from RNAcentral.